UCGGGAAUAUUGCGCAAUGGAGGAAACUCUGACGCAGUGACGCCGCGUAUAGGAAGAAGUUUUUCGGAAUGUAAACUAUUGUCGUUAGGGAAGAGAAAGGACAGUACCUAAGGAGGAAGCUCCGGCUAACUACGUGCCAGCAGCCGCGGUAAUACGUAGGGAGCGAGCGUCAUCCGGAAUUAUUGGGUGUAAAGGGUGCGUAGACGGGAGAACAAGUUAGUUGUGAAAUCCCUCGGCUUAACUGAGGAACUGCAACUAAAACUAUUUUUACUUGAGUGCAGGAGAGGUAAGUGGAAUUCCUAGUGUAGCGGUGAAAUGCGUAGAUAUUAGGAGGAACACCAGUGGCGGAGGCGACUUACUGGACUGUAACUGACGUUGAGGCACGAAAGUGUGGGGAGCAAACAGGAUUAGAUACCC
Molecule: ribosomal RNA, 417 nt
Filed under: uncultured bacterium
Lineage: Bacteria
Description: bacterial SSU rRNA
Rfam family: Bacterial small subunit ribosomal RNA
Source: RNAcentral